CCUACGGGAGGCAGCAGUGAGGAAUAUUGGUCAAUGGACGAGAGUCUGAACCAGCCAAGUAGCGUGAAGGAUGACUGCCCUAUGGGUUGUAAACUUCUUUUAUAUGGGAAUAAAAUGUUCCACGUGUGGGAUUUUGUAUGUACCAUAUGAAUAAGGAUCGGCUAACUCCGUGCCAGCAGCCGCGGUAAUACGGAGGAUCCGAGCGUUAUCCGGAUUUAUUGGGUUUAAAGGGAGCGUAGGUGGAUUGUUAAGUCAGUUGUGAAAGUUUGCGGCUCAACCGUAAAAUUGCAGUUGAAACUGGCAGUCUUGAGUACAGUAGAGGUGGGCGGAAUUCGUGGUGUAGCGGUGAAAUGCUUAGAUAUCACGAAGAACUCCGAUUGCGAAGGCAGUUCACUGGACUGCAACUGACACUGAGGGUCGAAAGUGUGGGUAUCAAACAGGAUUAGAUACCCGUGUAGUC
This 460-nucleotide ribosomal RNA is filed under the name uncultured bacterium. Its description in RNAcentral is "partial 16S ribosomal RNA". It matches the Rfam family "Bacterial small subunit ribosomal RNA", at positions 338 to 795 of the family's 1533-position model. The record is from RNAcentral.